RNAcentral lists this long non-coding RNA (441 nucleotides) under Mus caroli (Ryukyu mouse). Its description in RNAcentral is "lncRNA (MGP_CAROLIEiJ_G0002823.1)". The record is from RNAcentral. Lineage: Eukaryota; Metazoa; Chordata; Mammalia; Rodentia; Muridae.
GAGGGAGGCCUGGCUAAGGCCUAUUCACGUGUGGUUCCUUCUUCCUGAGAUAAGGAAUGCCCCAGAGAGGUUGCAGAAUGGAGGCCCCACCUAAGUCUCACCAGCAACGCACUCUAGCCUUGCUCCUGCACAGCAGUCAGGGCAGAACUGCACACAUGUGGCAUGGAAUGACUAGCUACUCAUGGCAACCCUGGACAUAAAGCCAAAUGCCUGCAAAACACGGAGUCCAGAGCAGUUAGUUACCUGCCCCGCCCUGCACUCUGUAGCUGGGAGAUCCCAGAGCCGCCCAACCAGAUAAAGGCUUGCUGGCCUGCUGGGGAAGCCUGGGAAAUCACAGGGGAAGAAGGGCUACUCUCUGCAAGCCAGGGCACCAGGGCAGCAGACUGCGAGGUGGGGAAGCAAUCUGGCUCAAAUAAACAAACCAGGAAAUGAGUGUCACCU